GGGCAUAUGGUUUAGUGGUAUAAUACUCCCUUAGCAUGCAGCGUCGCCUGGCAACGUCAUACGUGGGAGUGGUCCUGGGUUCGAUUCCCAGUUUGUCCA
RNAcentral lists this transfer RNA (99 nucleotides) under Drepanopeziza brunnea f. sp. 'multigermtubi' MB_m1. RNAcentral describes it as "Marssonina brunnea f. sp. 'multigermtubi' MB_m1 tRNA". It matches the Rfam family "tRNA". From Rfam's summary of the family: Transfer RNA (tRNA) molecules are approximately 80 nucleotides in length. Their secondary structure includes four short double-helical elements and three loops (D, anti-codon, and T loops). The record is from Rfam by way of RNAcentral. Lineage: Eukaryota; Fungi; Ascomycota; Leotiomycetes; Helotiales; Drepanopezizaceae.